RNAcentral lists this ribosomal RNA (537 nucleotides) under uncultured bacterium. RNAcentral describes it as "bacterial SSU rRNA". It matches the Rfam family "Bacterial small subunit ribosomal RNA", at positions 8 to 522 of the family's 1533-position model. The record is from RNAcentral.
AGAGUUUGAUCAUGGCUCAGAGCGAACGCUGCGGCGUACUUACACAUGCAAGUCGAACGGGGAGCUUCGGUGUAGCAAUACAUUGCAGCUCCUAGUGGCGCACGGGUGAGUAACACGUGGGCAACCUGCCCUUGAGUCUGGGAUACCUCCGCGAAAGUGGGGCUAAUACCGGAUACGUUCCUCGGGUCGGAAGAUCUGGGGAGGAAAGGUGGCGAAAGCUGCCGCUCUUGGAGGGGCUCGCGGCCUAUCAGCUAGUUGGCGGGGUAAUGGCCCACCAAGGCGAUGACGGGUAGCUGGUCUGAGAGGACGACCAGCCACACGGGGACUGAGACACGGCCCCGACUCCUACGGGAGGCAGCAGUGGGGAAUUUUCCGCAAUGGGCGAAAGCCUGACGGAGUGACGCCGCGUGUGGGACGAAGGCCUUCGGGUCGUAAACCACUGUCAGUGGGAAAGAUGGGCAUCGGUGCGAUAAACGCCGGUGCUUGACGGUACCUGCAGAGGAAGCCCCGGCCAACUCUGUGCCAGCAGCCGCGGUA